RNAcentral lists this transfer RNA (74 nucleotides) under Eubacteriales bacterium. RNAcentral describes it as "tRNA-Arg". It matches the Rfam family "tRNA". From Rfam's summary of the family: Transfer RNA (tRNA) molecules are approximately 80 nucleotides in length. Their secondary structure includes four short double-helical elements and three loops (D, anti-codon, and T loops). Further hydrogen bonds mediate the characteristic L-shaped molecular structure. tRNAs have two regions of fundamental functional importance: the anti-codon, which is responsible for specific mRNA codon recognition, and the 3' end, to which the tRNAs corresponding amino acid is attached (by aminoacyl-tRNA synthetases). tRNAs cope with the degeneracy of the genetic code in two manners: having more than one tRNA (with a specific anti-codon) for a particular amino acid; and 'wobble' base-pairing, i.e. permitting non-standard base-pairing at the 3rd anti-codon position. The record is from RNAcentral. Lineage: Bacteria; Bacillati; Bacillota; Clostridia; Eubacteriales.
GCCCCCGUAGCUCAGCAGGAUAGAGCGUUCGCCUCCUAAGCGAAAGGCCACUGGUUCGAAUCCAGCCGGGGGUG